RNAcentral lists this ribosomal RNA (500 nucleotides) under uncultured bacterium. Its description in RNAcentral is "partial 16S ribosomal RNA". It matches the Rfam family "Bacterial small subunit ribosomal RNA", at positions 30 to 523 of the family's 1533-position model. The record is from RNAcentral.
AUUGAACGCUGGCGGAAUGCUUUACACAUGCAAGUCGAACGGCAGCACGGACUUCGGUCUGGUGGCGAGUGGCGAACGGGUGAGUAAUGUAUCGGAACGUGCCCAGUCGUGGGGGAAAACGUAGUGAAAAUUACGCUAAUACCGCAUACGGUCUAUGGAUGAAAGCGGGGGAUCGCAAGACCUCGCGCGAUUGGAGCGGCCGAUAUCAGAUUAGGUAGUUGGUGGGGUAAAGGCCCACCAAGCCAACGAUCUGUAGCUGGUCUGAGAGGACGACCAGCCACACUGGAACUGAGACACGGUCCAGACUCCUACGGGAGGCAGCAGUGGGGAAUUUUGGACAAUGGGCGAAAGCCUGAUCCAGCCAUUCCGCGUGCAGGAUGAAGGCCCUCGGGUUGUAAACUGCUUUUGUACAGAACGAAAAGGUUUCUACUAAUACUAGGAGCUCAUGACGGUACUGUAAGAAUAAGCACCGGCUAACUACGUGCCAGCAGCCGCGGUAA